Molecule: transfer RNA, 69 nt
Filed under: Extubocellulus spinifer
Lineage: Eukaryota; Bacillariophyta; Thalassiosirophyceae; Cymatosirales; Cymatosiraceae
Rfam family: tRNA
About the family: Transfer RNA (tRNA) molecules are approximately 80 nucleotides in length. Their secondary structure includes four short double-helical elements and three loops (D, anti-codon, and T loops).
Source: RNAcentral
GGGAAUUAGCUCAGUGGUAGAGCGUCCGCUUUGCAUGCGGAAGGCCCGGGGUUCAAUCCCCCGAUUCUC